RNAcentral lists this ribosomal RNA (490 nucleotides) under uncultured bacterium. RNAcentral describes it as "partial 16S ribosomal RNA". It matches the Rfam family "Bacterial small subunit ribosomal RNA", at positions 30 to 507 of the family's 1533-position model. The record is from RNAcentral.
AUUGAACGCUGGCGGCAGGCCUAACACAUGCAAGUCGAACGGUAGCAGGAAGCAGCUUGCUGCUUCGCUGACGAGUGGCGGACGGGUGAGUAAUGUCUGGGAAGCUGCCUGAUGGAGGGGGAUAACUACUGGAAACGGUAGCUAAUACCGCAUAAUGUCGCAAGACCAAAGAGGGGGACCUUCGGGCCUCUUGCCAUCGGAUGUGCCCAGAUGGGAUUAGCUUGUUGGUGGGGUAACGGCUCACCAAGGCGACGAUCCCUAGCUGGUCUGAGAGGAUGACCAGCCACACUGGAACUGAGACACGGUCCAGACUCCUACGGGAGGCAGCAGUGGGGAAUAUUGCACAAUGGGCGCAAGCCUGAUGCAGCCAUGCCGCGUGUAUGAAGAAGGCCUUCGGGUUGUAAAGUACUUUCAGCGGGGAGGAAGGGAGUAAAGUUAAUACCUUUGCUCAUUGACGUUACCCGCAGAAGAAGCACCGGCUAACUCCGCG